RNAcentral lists this long non-coding RNA (2801 nucleotides) under Triticum aestivum (bread wheat). Its description in RNAcentral is "long non-coding RNA (TAES_LNC012751)". Lineage: Eukaryota; Viridiplantae; Streptophyta; Magnoliopsida; Poales; Poaceae. The record is from RNAcentral.
GCCACCAGUCGCCCCAACUUCCAGAUCCCGCCCAUCAGCGCCUCAAAAGGUCAGUAUUUUUUUUCUAUUUGUGCAUGAAUUCUCGUGAAAUAGUAGCAGUCUCGAUUGUGCAGAAGCACCAAGUGCGUCAAAUUUUCUGUUCCUUGCAUUUAACUGUUUGACCCAAUUUUUGAUAUGGUGUAUCAGAAAUUCAGAAUAGAAUAAGUUAUGAUGAUUGUAGGAGUGAUCUGCGGCUCUGAAAUUAUGUGAUUUAGGUAGAUUUCGAUACAAAAGCUCUUCUUGGGUAAAUCAAUUAGCCAACAAAUCUGAAAGAAAUUUAAAGGAUGCUAAUUAGAGUCUGAUUUGCGUCAUACUAGUAUAUUCUGAAGAGCAACUUGCUGCUUGUUACUGCAAAUGGCAAGAAGAGUACGCAUUCAAUGCUUUUACUACUGGUCUGGUUUGCUUUUGGAGUAGAUUACAGCUUUAAUAUGUAGUUAGUUCAUUUUUUGGGCGGUUCAAGCGAAUCAUUGUUUUUGAAUUCACAGUGUCUAUUUGAUUUUCAUGGGGUUGAAAGGGUCUGUCUAAAGUAUUAACCUAAUAUAACAAAACUCUAAGGCAUAAUCAAGUUUGUUAUUGAGUCCAUGGAAUCCAAUUUCUACAAUAAUUCAACUUUCAACACAUAUUCUUGGAAAACAGUUUGUGUUCUUUAAUCCAAUUUGUACAUUGCCCACUAGUGAUUUUAGUGCCAUAAAAGGAGCUGAUAAGUUGCAUAUUUUCAGUGAUGUUUCAGUUUAUGCUGUAGCCCGAUGUGGCAUGAGAUGAACUCAAACCUAAUUUAUUUCUACUGAAUCUGACGAGCUUUUUACACUUGUGUUACUGUUUCCAUCUGGGGAUGAAAAAAUUCUAUCGUCAGAUUUCAGCUGACAAGGUAAAUAUUGCCAGUCCCUCAUCGCCGCGCUGGUGCUGCUGCCUCCAUUCCUGGUUCCUCUUUGUCGUGCAAGGCAACAAAGGAGAGUCACCAUGAAUGCGAGGCUCGCCACCCCCGUGUUCACGACUGCUCCUGAGUCCUGACGAGGCAGAGGUCGUUGCUGGCAAUCAUUCAGCGAGCAUGCUGUAAUAAAAUGAUUUUUACAAACAAAACUAUAAAAAAUGAAUCUGAGAAAUGUUCCGAGAUCGCCGUACUGUGUUUCAAAAACAAAUGUAGUUGAUCCAAGUCAGCGAGCAUGCUGUGAUGAAAUGUAAAAACAAAUAUGGUUAAACAAAUCUGCCGAGAUCGCCGCACACCAAGUAUUUUAAAUGUGCUCACCAUUGGGGUAUGAUCAUUGUUCCUUUUAGAUGUCUAUAGUACAAUUUACAUCAACGCUUCUAGCCAAUUUUAUGUUGGAUGGUUAGGAUGCGAAGUUAAUUUAAUAUCUGAUACCACUUUGAAAGUUCAUGUGGUAAAAAAUGGAAUGAUUUACAAGGCUACUGAAAUAAUCCUUUGCUUACUGGUCACAACCACAAGAAAAGCAGCAGCUGCUCAUGAACAUGAAUUAAUAAGUAAAACAUAUGAAGAAGAUGAUUCUCAUUGUUAUGUGUCCCCCUUGGUUAUACACACUUUUUUUCUUCUAAAUUCUUCCCUCCUCCUUCCUUUUUCCUGUAUAUAAUUUUGGGAUACGUCUGGUAGAAUAUUUUGUGUAAUCAUAGGUACAAAGAGCCAAUUACUCGCCAUUAAGAGAAGAAAUGCAUAGCUCCGACUUUAUUUGUAAAACGGGGUGAAAGCCUAUUUCGAGAGAAAUGCAUAGCUCUGCUUGCCACUGUGUCUGGCAAUUAUGGAAAUCCAUAAGAAACUACUCCCUCUGUCCCAUAAUAUAAGAGCGUCACGCUCUUAUAUUAUGAGACAGAGGGAGUAGAUGUCAUUUGCUAUUCUGCAUCAGGUUUGGCAACAGAUAGAGUGGUACUACAAACUGGUGCUGAGACACGGAAGCAAGCUCUUUUGGGUGAAGUGAAGCUCACCCUUCCUUUCCUAACAAUCAGCAGAAAAAUUCAGGAUUGGUGCAAAGAAAGGUAAACCUGAAGGCUUCAGUUCUAUUAAUAGGAUAUGAAUGUUUUAAUUGCUGCAGAGAUUGUAGGACACAUGAAAUUGAUGGGCAAUCUGUGGCCACCCGCAAAUUAAGUUGCUUGAAGACCAAGUUUAAACCUGUACGAUGUUAGUGAAGUUGCGCCUCCAUGUCUCUUCACUUCCUGAUGUAAUUAGUCUGGUAGUAUUCAGUUCUGUAAUAACGAUUUAUGAUAUAUUUUUUAUGCUGCUGGUUACCGAUUUGCCAAGUGAUAUUCGAUGUUCUCCAAACGAAUUUUAGUAGUAUCAUACGGAUGCUUUUUAUUACUUGAGAUAUUUACUGGAAACAUCAGUUACUUUCUGUAUGGAAUCUAUUUAUCAUAUGGCUCAGUUGUGGUUUUAGGAUUUAAGGCCACCAGGCAGAGUUCUUGUAUUGGCUCUCAGUUUCUGUACAUUAAUGCCUUUCACGGGGCUGAUUUUCCCCUUUUAGAUUGGUUAUUAUCAUAAUCUGUACGUUGCCUAAUAUAGCUUUUUCUUAAGUCAUGGUUGUACAAAUGCCUCAUGUACGCUAUGACGUCAAAAAAAUGCCUCACACUACAUUGGUCAUCACUUCUUUAAGCCUGUUCUGAAAUUUUCUUAUGCCAAAAGUGCCUUGUGUGCAAAAUGAAUUAAUGGACCAUUAUCGCUACCAAAAUUACCUUGUACAAAACGAUUAGUGGAUCAGGUGCAGAACGACUAUUAAAAGACUAGUGAAAAUACCUAAUGUACAUUAUAGGAAUGCAAC